AGAUUGAACGCUGGCGGCAUGCCUUACACAUGCAAGUCGAACGGCAGCACGGGAGCAAUCCUGGUGGCGAGUGGCGAACGGGUGAGUAAUAUAUCGGAACGUGCCCAGUCGUGGGGGAUAACGCAGCGAAAGCUGUGCUAAUACCGCAUACGAUCUCUGGAUGAAAGCGGGGGACUCGCAAGAGCCUCGCGCGAUUGGAGCGGCCGAUAUCAGAUUAGCUAGUUGGUGGGGUAAAAGCUCACCAAGGCGACGAUCUGUAGCUGGUCUGAGAGGACGACCAGCCACACUGGAACUGAGACACGGUCCAGACUCCUACGGGAGCAGCAGUGGGGAAUUUUGGACAAGUGGCGCAAGCCUGAUCCAGCAAUGCCGCGUGCAGGAUGAAGGCCUUCGGUUGUAAACGUGCUUUGUACGGAACGAACGGUCUUACGUUUUAAAUAAAGUAGGUACUAAGUAGACGGUACGUAAGAAUAAGACACGACUAACUACG
RNAcentral lists this ribosomal RNA (490 nucleotides) under uncultured soil bacterium. RNAcentral's name for it is "bacterial SSU rRNA". It matches the Rfam family "Bacterial small subunit ribosomal RNA", at positions 26 to 505 of the family's 1533-position model. The record is from RNAcentral.